UGUGAUAUGUGAUCAACCUAUCUCCCUUAAU
Molecule: non-coding RNA, 31 nt
Filed under: Mus musculus (house mouse)
Lineage: Eukaryota; Metazoa; Chordata; Mammalia; Rodentia; Muridae
Source: RNAcentral